RNAcentral lists this ribosomal RNA (492 nucleotides) under uncultured Sphingobacteriales bacterium. Its description in RNAcentral is "bacterial SSU rRNA". It matches the Rfam family "Bacterial small subunit ribosomal RNA", at positions 888 to 1382 of the family's 1533-position model. Lineage: Bacteria; Pseudomonadati; Bacteroidota; Sphingobacteriia; Sphingobacteriales. The record is from RNAcentral.
CCCGCUCAGAAACUUAAAUGAAUUGACGGGGCCCGCACAAGCGGUGGAGCAUGUGGUUUAAUUCGAUGAUACGCGAGGAACCUUACCUGGGCUCAAAUGUAUGUUUGACGUAUUCUGAAAGGGAUACUUCUUCGGACAAUAUACAAGGUGCUGCAUGGUUGUCGUCAGCUCGUGCCGUGAGGUGUCGGGUUAAGUCCCAUAACGAGCGCAACCCCUAUCAUUAGUUGCCAUCAGGUCAAGCUGGGGACUCUAAUGAAACUGCCUACGCAAGUAGUGAGGAAGGUGGGGAUGACGUCAAAUCAGCACGGCCCUUACGUCCAGGGCUACACACGUGCUACAAUGGCCGGUACAAAGGGCAGCUACCUGGUGACAGGAUGCUAAUCUCCAAAGUCGGUCUCAGUUCGGAUCGGAGUCUGCAACCCGACUCCGUGAAGUUGGAUUCGCUAGUAAUCGCGCAUCAGCCAUGGCGCGGUGAAUACGUUCCCGGGCCUU